CCCCUCCCCCCCGGGAUGACACGGCUCGUUCUCUCCCUGAGCGGCUAGGCUGCCGCCGCUGCCAGCCUGCCCGCCGGGUUGUCAGAACAAGCGGCACCUCGCCUCCUGCGUGUCCCUGCAGAGCCCCGACAUAAUUAGACAGCCCCGAGCCGGCUCGGAAACCCGAAAUCCCUGCUCCGGCACUCGCCCGCCGCGGCCAAAGUUGUUGAAACAGCCUUCACUCUGUUUUCUUCCCCGUCUCGUUUCUCAUCAUUUUUUCCCUCUUUUUCGCCUCACUCACACACACACACGCACACGCGCCCCCACAGGGUCUCUCUCUGGGGGUGCAAGUUCCUCGCCUCCCUCCCAGGUCCCACAGGCGCCCAGCGCCGCGCGGAGGCCCGGACGCCGCCAACCCAGCGUGCAGCGCCGGGAGCCGGGCUUCGGCCUCGGAGAAAGUGAGCGCCCCAGCCUCCGGCCACAGCCCAGCCGGGACAACCCGCCUAAGACUUAAGGGCUGAGUUUCACCCCGAUUCGCUCGCCAAGGGCACCCCCGCUCUGAAAACAAAGCAGCUGGUCUGACGUGGGGUGUCUGCCCCCCGCGCCGCGCACAACAGGAGCCCCGGAGAAGCGCCCGUCUCCGAGGGACGUCACCCCGCGCCCCAGGGGGGUGGGGAGAGCGGAGAGAAAGGGCCCGGGAAAGGAGCGAGAUUUAAAAUCGUCUGCGAAUAGGAGGGGAAGGGAGACGGGCGGCACCACGUUCACAGAAACCCAGGUUCCGAUUUCGGGGCAGACAGGCCCCCUGCCGCUGCGCCCGCGCAGACCUCCCUGCCUGGCGCUCCCAGCUCCAGAUGCCAACGAGAAAGAAAGGAAAGGGGGGAAAGAGCAAAAGCCGGGACUGCCGCCUCUUUAUUUAGGUAAUCUCCGGCCGCGGCCCCCUCCCCCUCUCGUGACUCAUCGACUCCUCUCGGCCCGGGCGGUACGGGCGGCAGGAGCGGCGGCCGCCUGGCCGGGUCUCAGGGCCUCCCGCGCGCGGACCGGUAGUGCCGGGGCUUCCCCGGCUCCGGGAACCCGAGCUCCCGGGACCCUGGGUUUUUUAACGGCUCCAUUGGCCCCGCUGGCUCCUCGCACCGGAGGUCGCGUGUAGCCCCGCCGGGAUUCCCACGGUGACGCCGCCGACUGCCGGGCGGCCGCCGGGGCAGAGGCGUGGGGACCCGGGAGCCGGGAAACUCCGAGCCGCGCCGCCCCCCCACCCCCACCCCGUGGAGGCGCCAACCGAGUGCUCAGAGAGAAGCGGCGCGGAACUUCCUGAGCAGCGGGAGCACCUGGAGCGGCCCGCGGCAGUUGGGGAGAGGAGUGAUCGCACCCUGAACCCGCUGAAAGGGAGAUGCGGCCCCCUCUCCACAGAGAAAUGAGCCUUUUUUUAAAAAAAGGUUGGGGGAGGAAUAAAUAAGCCAGUAAAUAAACAAGCAAACAAACAUGAAGGAUCAGAGAGGAAGUUAAAAAAGGUAAAGGGUUUUCUCUUUCCUUUCUCUUCCUGGUGACUUGGGCUCCCAGAACCUCGCCAGAGAGGCACGCGGAGCGCACGGGCGCGUGCCCCAAGGCCAGCAAUCGCUUCCAAAACCCAUGCUGGUCUCUCCUCUCCCUCGUCUCGGGCACAGGCAAUGUUGCUCAGAAAAGGGGGGAAAGUGGGGCACAGGCUUCGAAGGGGCGACAUGAGAAGGGGAGCGCCCGCUGGCUCGCUGUCCGACCUCUCCCCGGCAUCCUUCGGGCGAAUCGGAGAGGCGGGCGCGGCGCGGGGCGAAGUUUGUCCACCCGCGCUUCUCAGCGGGCUGCGAGGAGCGGAGGUGCGGAGGGGAGAGCUCGGAUCCUGAGGCCGCGAGGAGAACUGAGCCGGCGCCGCGCUUACCUCGCAGUCCUCGUACUUGAUAUUAUCCGUCAGUUUCCAAAGCAUUUUCAUGGAUCGGCGUGAACUGAUUGGCCCCCUCUCUGCCUCGCAACCAAGUGCAGCUACUCGCGGGCUCUUUACCCACAGCCUAAUCGCCUCAUUAGCAUAUCAACAAUAAUCCAAUUGCUCGCCAGCUCGACUAUCUGCCUCCGAACCAGGUAUAAAGGCCUCUUGGAGCCGCCAACUUGCUCCCGGAGUGCACGCCCGGCCGGUGAGCCCUGGAAAGCUCCCGAGCCCCGCCUCGCGCCCCUGCCCGUCCCCCCACCCCCAGUCCGCCCCAGUCCCCCACUCCGUCCCCUCCUAGAGGGAGCAGCCCGGCGCAGAGGCCAGGCUCUCAGCGCCGCUCCCCCACCUCUGCUGCUAAGAACGGGGCUGUCCUUCCGGCCCCCUCCCAUUUUAUUAGAAAUUAUCCUUUUGGCAAUUAAACAUAACCACCACACCAAGAUCAGCGAAGUCACGCCAGGAUUUUUGCCCAAGAAAAGAUCGCCUCCGCCGGGCAGCCACCACCGCGGGCCGGAGCGUUGGGAGUUUUAUUGGCUUUGUGCUUCACCCCCAGGUCGGAGGUUUUGCCAAACGGCCUCCGUCGCUCGGCUGGGGUUUGCGAUUCUUUAAUUGCAGCGUGUAAAAUAAAAAUUGUACCCUGAAGAGGUUACUUGACAGCUCCAGGAGUUAAA
Myotis myotis is the source of this 2601-nucleotide long non-coding RNA. RefSeq lists it as uncharacterized. Lineage: Eukaryota; Metazoa; Chordata; Mammalia; Chiroptera; Vespertilionidae. The record is from RefSeq and is a predicted model, not a curated record. The transcript is spliced from 2 exons.